RNAcentral lists this ribosomal RNA (164 nucleotides) under uncultured bacterium. Its description in RNAcentral is "partial 16S rRNA". It matches the Rfam family "Bacterial small subunit ribosomal RNA", at positions 355 to 511 of the family's 1533-position model. The record is from RNAcentral.
UAGGGAAUCUUCCACAAUGGACGAAAGUCUGAUGGAGCAACGCCGCGUGAGUGAAGAAGGUUUUCGGAUCGUAAAACUCUGUUGUUGGAGAAGAACGUAUUUGAUAGUAACUGAUCAGGUAGUGACGGUAUCCAACCAGAAAGCCACGGCUAACUACGCGCCAG